CCUACGGGCGGCAGCAGUAGGGAAUAUUGCUCAAUGGGGGAAACCCUGAAGCAGCAACGCCGCGUGGAGGAUGAAGGUUUUCGGAUUGUAAACUCCUUUUGUUAGAGAAGAUAAUGACGGUAUCUAACGAAUAAGCACCGGCUAACUCCGUGCCAGCAGCCGCGGUAAUACGGAGGGUGCAAGCGUUACUCGGAAUCACUGGGGGGAAAGAGCGCGUAGGCGGGUUAGCAAGUCAGAUGUGAAAUCCUAUGGCUUAACCAUAGAACUGCAUUUGAAACUGUUAUUCUAGAGUAUGGGAGAGGUAGGUGGAAUUCUUGGUGUAGGGGUAAAAUCCGUAGAGAUCAAGAGGAAUACUCAUUGCGAAGGCGACCUGCUAGAACAUAACUGACGCUGAUGCGCGAAAGCGUGGGGAGCAAACAGGAUUAGAUACCCUAGUAGUC
This 440-nucleotide ribosomal RNA is filed under the name uncultured bacterium. RNAcentral's name for it is "partial 16S ribosomal RNA". It matches the Rfam family "Bacterial small subunit ribosomal RNA", at positions 338 to 795 of the family's 1533-position model. The record is from RNAcentral.